CCUCCUGCACCCUGACUAGGUACCGGUCACCCCUCCUGCACCCUGACUCGGUACUCGUGACCCUCUCCUGCACCCUGACUCGGUACUGGUGACCCUCCUGCACCCUGACUAGGUACUGGUCACCCCUCCUGCACCCUGACUCGGUACCGGUGACCCUCCUGCACCCUGACUAGGUACCGGUCACCCCUCCUGCACCCUGACUCGGUACUGGCGACCCUCUCCUGCACCCUGACUAGGUACUCGUGACCCUCUCCUGCACCCUGACCCGGUACUGGUGACCCUCCUGCACCCUGACUAGGUACCGGUCACCCCUCCUACACCCUGACUCGGUACCGGUGACCCUCCUGCACCCUGACUAGGUACCGGUCACCCCUCCUACACCCUGACUAGGUACCGGUCACCCCUCCUGCACCCUGACUCGGUACCGGUGACCCUCCUGCACCCUGACUAGGUACUGGCGACCCUCCUGCACCUUGACUCAGUACUGGCGACCCUCCUGCACCCUGACUAGGUACUGGCGACCCUCCUGCACCCUGACUAGGUACCGGUCACCCUCUCCUGCACCCUGACUAGGUACCGGUCACCCCUCCUGCACCCUGACUAGGUAUGGGUGACCCUCCUGCACCCUGACUAGGUACUGGCGACCCUCCUGCACCUUGACUCGGUACUGGCGACCCUCCUGCACCCUGACUAGGUACCGGUCACCCUCUCCUGCCCCCUGACUCGGUACUGGCGACCCUCCUGCACCCUGACUAGGUACCGGUCACCCUCCUGCACCCUGACUCGGUACUGGUGACCCUCCUGCACCCUGACUAGGUACCGGUCACCCUCUCCUGCACCCUGACUAGGUACCGGUCACCCCUCCUGCACCCUGACUCGGUACUGGCGACCCUCUCCUGCACCCUGACUAGGUACUCGUGACCCUCUCCUGCACCCUGACCCGGUACUGGUGACCCUCCUGCACCCUGACUAGGUACCGGUCACCCCUCCUACACCCUGACUCGGUACCGGUGACCCUCCUGCACCCUGACUAGGUACCGGUCACCCCUCCUACACCCUGACUAGGUACCGGUCACCCCUCCUACACCCUGACUAGGUACCGGUCACCCCUCCUACACCCUGACUCGGUACCGGUGACCCUCCUGCACCCUGACUCGGUACUGGCGACCCUCCUGCACCCUGACUAGGUACUGGUGAUCCUCCUGCACCCUGACUAGGUACUGGUCACCCUCCUGCACCCUGACUAGGUACUGGUGACCCUCCUGCACCCUGACUAGGUACUGGUCACCCUCCUGCACCCUGACUAGGUACUGGUGACCCUCCUGCACCCUGACUAGGUACUGGUCACCCUCCUGCACCCUGACUAGGUACUGGUCACCCUCCUGCACCCUGACUAGGUACCGGUCACCCCUCCUGCACCCUGACUCGGUACCGGUGACCCUCCUGCACCCUGACUAGGUACCGGUCACCCCUCCUACACCCUGACUCGGUACCGGUCACCCCUCCUGCACCCUGACUAGGUACUGGUGACCCUCCUGCACCCUGACUAGGUACCGGUCACCCUCUCCUGCACCCUGACUCGGUCAUGGCGACCCUCCUGCACCCUGACUAGGUACCGGUCACCCUCUCCUGCACCCUGACUCGGUACUGGCGACCCUCCUGCACCCUGACUAGGUACCGGUCACCCUCUCCUGCACCCUGACUAGGUACCGGUCACCCCUCCUGCACCCUGACUAGGUAUGGGUGACCCUCCUGCACCCUGACUAGGUACUGGCGACCCUCCUGCACCUUGACUCAGUACUGGCGACCCUCCUGCACCCUGACUAGGUACUGGCGACCCUCCUGCACCCUGACUAGGUACCGGUCACCCUCUCCUGCACCCUGACUAGGUACCGGUCACCCCUCCUGCACCCUGACUAGGUAUGGGUGACCCUCCUGCACCCUGACUAGGUACUGGUCACCCUCCUGCACCCUGACUAGGUACUGGUGACCCCUCCUGCACCCUGACUAGGUACUGGUCACCCUCCUGCACCCUGACUAGGUACUGGCGACCCUCCUGCACCCUGACUAGGUACUGGUCACCCUCCUGCACCCUGACUAGGUACUGGCGACCCUCCUACACCCUGACUAGGUACCGGUCACCCUCUCCUGCACCCUGACUAGGUACUGGUGACCCUCCUGCACCCUGACUAGGUACCGGUGACUCUCCUGCACCCUGACUAGGUACCGGUCACCCUCUCCUGCACCCUGACUAGGUACCGGUGACCCUCCUGCACCCUGACUAGGUACCGGUCACCCUCCUGCACCCUGACUAGGUACCGGUCACCCUCCUGCACCCUGACUAGGUACCGGUGACCCUCUCCUGUACCCUGACUAGGUACUGGUGACCCUCUCCUGCACCCUGACUAGGUACUGGUGACCCUCUCCUGCACCCUGACUAGGUACUGGUGACCCUCUCCUGCACCCUGACUAGGUACUGGUGACCCUCUCCUGCACCCUGACUAGGUACUGGUGACCCUCUCCUGCACCCUGACUAGGUACUCGUGACCCUCUCCUGCACCCUGACUAGGUACUCGUGACCCUCUCCUGCACCCUGACUAGGUACUGGUGACCCUCUCCUGCACCCUGACUAGGUACUCGUGACCCUCUCCUGCACCCUGACUAGGUACUGGUGACCCUCUCCUGCACCCUGACUAGGUACU
This is a long non-coding RNA of Oncorhynchus keta (chum salmon), 2702 nucleotides long. RefSeq lists it as uncharacterized. Lineage: Eukaryota; Metazoa; Chordata; Actinopteri; Salmoniformes; Salmonidae. The record is from RefSeq and is a predicted model, not a curated record. The transcript is spliced from 14 exons.